GACGAACGCUGGCGGCGUGCUUAACACAUGCAAGUCGAACGAUGAAGCCAGCUUGCUGGUGGAUUAGUGGCGAACGGGUGAGUAACACGUGGGUGAUCUGCCCCAAACUUUGGGAUAAGCCUGGGAAACUGGGUCUAAUACCGAAUAUGACCGAUACUCGCAUGGGUGUUGGUGGAAAGCUCCGGCGGUUUGGGAUGGGCCCGCGGCCUAUCAGCUUGUUGGUGGGGUAAUGGCCUACCAAGGCGACGACGGGUAGCCGGCCUGAGAGGGCGACCGGCCACACUGGGACUGAGACACGGCCCAGACUCCUACGGGAGGCAGCAGUGGGGAAUAUUGCACAAUGGGCGCAAGCCUGAUGCAGCGACGCCGCGUGAGGGAUGACGGCCCUCGGGUUGUAAACCUCUUUCACCAGGGACGAAGCGAAAGUGACGGUACCUGGAGAAGAAGCACCGGCCAACUACGUG
Molecule: ribosomal RNA, 464 nt
Filed under: uncultured bacterium
Lineage: Bacteria
Description: partial 16S ribosomal RNA
Rfam family: Bacterial small subunit ribosomal RNA
Source: RNAcentral